RNAcentral lists this ribosomal RNA (230 nucleotides) under uncultured bacterium. RNAcentral describes it as "partial 16S ribosomal RNA". It matches the Rfam family "Bacterial small subunit ribosomal RNA", at positions 1 to 226 of the family's 1533-position model. The record is from RNAcentral.
GAUUAUAGUUUGAUCAUGGCUCAGAGUGAACGCUGGCGGUAGGCCUAACACAUGCAAGUCGAACGGCAGCACAGGAGAGCUUGCUCUCUGGGUGGCGAGUGGCGGACGGGUGAGGAAUACAUCGGAAUCUACUUUUUCGUGGGGGAUAACGUAGGGAAACUUACGACUAAUACCGCAUACGACCUACGAGGUGAAGGCAGGGAGAUCUUCGGACCUAUGCGCGAUUGAAU